UGGAGAACUCAGCUUUACCAUGCCAGCAGA
Molecule: non-coding RNA, 30 nt
Filed under: Rattus norvegicus (Norway rat)
Lineage: Eukaryota; Metazoa; Chordata; Mammalia; Rodentia; Muridae
Source: RNAcentral